RNAcentral lists this long non-coding RNA (274 nucleotides) under Elaeis guineensis (African oil palm). Its description in RNAcentral is "long non-coding RNA (EGUI_LNC064319)". The record is from RNAcentral. Lineage: Eukaryota; Viridiplantae; Streptophyta; Magnoliopsida; Arecales; Arecaceae.
CACACAUUUCUUCUUUGAUGGAGCUCUUAUCUGACUUGAGUACUAGAUUGGAGGGUAUGGAGAGCUCCCUUCAUAGAUUCAGUGGCAGGAUUUUCGAUAUAGAGAGGGAGGUCAGACGGAUUAUAGUCUCUCUCUCUGUUGGAGUGGGCACAUCAACUUCUUCUACACUGCAAAAGGAUGACCUGGCUCGAGAGAUAGAGAGACUCGACAGUCAGCUUCGUUCCUCUCUUAAGCUACUUCGGACAAACAUCAGAGACUCCAGAGACUUCGUAUC